GCCAGACUCCUACGGGAGGCAGCAGUGAGGAAUAUUGGUCAAUGGGAGGAAUCCUGAACCAGCCAUGCCGCGUGCAGGACGACGGCUCUACGAGUUGUAAACUGCUUUUGUACCGGGGUAAAAUGCCUUACGAGUAGGGUUUUGAAAGUACGGUACGAAUAAGCAUCGGCUAACUCCGUGCCAGCAGCCGCGGUAAUACGGAGGAUGCGAGCGUUAUCCGGAUUUAUUGGGUUUAAAGGGUGCGUAGGCGGGCAUUUAAGCCGGCGGUCAAAUGUCGGGGCUCAACCCCGGCCUGCCGUCGGAACUGGGUGCCUUGAGUGGGCGAGAAGUAUGCGGAAUGCGUGGUGUAGCGGUGAAAUGCAUAGAUAUCACGCAGAACCCCGAUUGCGAAGGCAGCAUACCGGCGCCCUACUGACGCUGAGGCACGAAAGUGCGGGUAUCGAACAGGAUUAGAUACCCUAGUAUA
Molecule: ribosomal RNA, 466 nt
Filed under: uncultured bacterium
Lineage: Bacteria
Description: bacterial SSU rRNA
Rfam family: Bacterial small subunit ribosomal RNA
Source: RNAcentral